RNAcentral lists this ribosomal RNA (322 nucleotides) under uncultured eukaryote. Its description in RNAcentral is "partial 18S ribosomal RNA". It matches the Rfam family "Eukaryotic small subunit ribosomal RNA", at positions 1470 to 1796 of the family's 1831-position model. The record is from RNAcentral.
CCCUUAGAUGUUCUGGGCCGCACGCGUGCUACACUGAGUGGAUCAGCGGGUCAGGUUGCGCGAAAGCGUUUCCUAAUCUUGAAAUCCGCUCGUGAUGGGGAUUGACGGUUGCAAUUUUCUGUCAUGAACGAGGAAUACCUUGUAAGCGCGAGUCAUCAUCCCGCGCUGAAUACGUCCCUGCCCUUUGUACACACCGCCCGUCGCUCCUACCGAUUGAGUGGUCCGGUAAGGCUUUGGGAUCUGAGCGGAAAGAGCGUUUCGCUCGUUCUGCCCGGAAAACUCAGUCGAACCUUAUCAUUUAGAGGAAGGAGAAGUCGUAACA